Molecule: non-coding RNA, 21499 nt
Organism: Cyanistes caeruleus (blue tit)
Lineage: Eukaryota; Metazoa; Chordata; Aves; Passeriformes; Paridae
Source: RefSeq, a predicted model, not a curated record
AUCUACUAGUGAUUCAUAUUUCAAUGGUGUAUAGACCUUGUGCAUGUGACCAUCCUUUGUUCUAAAAUUAAGUCUGUCCCUUCUCUGUCUUUAUUUUGUAAACUAUCAGUUCAUAAGGAUUUAGGGAAAGAUAAAAGCUCCUGUAAAUUAUUAUGGUUUCACAGUGCUAAGGAAUGCAGAACAGAACUUUCCUGGUCUUUUUUUUUUUAACACAUUCUACUCCUAAAUCCUACACUUAGAUGUAUUGUAAGCUUUGCAUGCAGACCAGACCAUGAACUAGUUUAACUAGAGUUAUUUUGGCAUCAAUUUAGUGGCUGUGCUGUGAAACUGUCAGGUGGACACAUUGAGAAACAAGGUGUAAACACUACAUUAGCACAUUAACACAGAGUUUUAAAGGUAUUUAGUUAAGUAGGAGUAGAAAGGGGUCUAGAUGAGCCAGCAAAAGCUUUGUGCAUAGACUAGUUUUUCCUUUUGUCUGGAUUUUGCUUGUAUAGGAACUUUGCUUAAUUCUGUAUCAGAUGACUGGUGUAAGUAUAUGCUUGUCCCAGCAAAGGCAGAUUUACCUUGAAGUGUCUGAAAUAAGUGUCCUAGUAUGCUUCCCUCCUACAGUAGUAGUAAAGAUAAAAAUCCAGCUCUCUGUCAGCUGACUUACACACUGUUUCCUAGCUGACUUACAUGGUAUUUCUUUUACACUUAAGUGUAAUAUAUUAAUUCCUUUGACAAUCAAUAACUAUGUAUUUCAAGAAAUAAUUACUUUCCCCUAGAUGGGUAUGUUCUAAAGCCUUUGCAAAAUAUCUACAAGGGAAAAAGCUCGUUAGUGUGUUUGAACUUCUAAAGAAAUUGAAUGAAGAGUCCACAAUAAGAUGAAAACGUAUACAGAAGGAUAGAAUGUUACCCACGUAAGUUCAAUCAUACUUGUGUUCAUUAUGAAACCUGAUUAUUUUUUCCUAAUAAAAAUAAUAUGGAUAAGUAAGAUCUGCAAUUUUUCUCAAGGAAUAUGUGCAGAAUCUUUAAAGAUUCAGUGGUGCUUAGUAUGUCAAAAUGCUGGAGCAGCUGUAAGAUCAGAACCCAAAGGCAAACAAGCAAGGAUGCAGCAUCCAGGAAGGUGAUUAAGGCGAAAUAAAAGGUGUUUAUGGGUUUCAUUGUAGUUGCUAUUUAAAUAAUCCUAUCUGAACUUCACCACUCUACAAAAAAAAAUAAUCAAGUCUUGCAGGUUACUUGUACUUAUGCAACUGGAAAACAGAAUCUAUCAGUUGAGCCAGGUCCUUGGCACUACUCCAAUAGUUCAAAACAAGUCUACAGCCAGCUUAACUGCCCCAGCCAUAAGUAUUUUCACUUCUCCAGAAACAGCUCUGCCAGGCAUAGGCCUGCUGAGACAGUGUACACUUCCCUACUUCUGAACUCUGACUCCCAGAUCAUAGACAAAGAAACAAAAGGCUAACUGGAGUCUGCUCUGAGCUAUGUGUCUUUGAAUGGUGGUUACUCUGGAAACACGGAGGUAGCAGCUCUCCAAAGCAAGGGGUUGAACCAUUGCUGAAGGCCUGAGCGAGAAGUAGUCCAGACAGUGCAUGAAACGCUGGGUCAAGGAAAGAUUUUCACCCAUAUUCUGUUUCAGAAGGUUAGGUAGCAACAGGGAUGAACACGUGACAACCAAAAAAUUAAAAGGCGGCACAAGUAUGUGUUUGAAAUUCUCUUUUCAUCAUUUUAAUAUUCACCUUCUAAUUUGCUCCAUCUCCUUAUCUCUUUAUGUGAACCUUGUCUCAGGAAAAGGUAAGAAAAAUGAAUGCACCAGAUGAUUCAGAUGACUUCCUAUUCUGACACUUUGCAAAGAAAGUAGUGUAUAGAUGUUAUCUGUACAAGGUGAACUUCACCUUGUCUUUCACCACCCGAUUUCAAAAAUAAUAGAUUUAUAAGAUUUCUGUUAAUGUCACCCUUUUCAGCUUGGUUUUUGUUUUUCAUUUUAUCUCUGAACUUGUUACGGUUGCCUAGAACUUAUAGUUCCAGAAUAGUUUAGAUCAUGAGGAAAAAUCAAUUGUUAAUGUUACUUUAACUGCAUCCCUAUCAAUCAGAAACAAAGUUUGGCAUUGAACUGUAAUUUUCAGCUUUACAGCAGUAGUGUACAUCAAAAGUUAGCUUGCUCUGAUGUUAUAAAAAGUUUUCAUGGGAGAAAGAAGUCACAAUUCCUUGGGAUAUUUAUAGUAUUUAAGAAUGCUUUUAAGUCACUUGUAAUGGCAGAUGCCAUUGGGUACUCUGUCAUAACUGGUUUCCUUAUUCAUAACAAGUAAUGCAUAUUGUAGUACAUUUCAAACCAGGCCCACAUUAAACUUUGUAGAAAAAAUAAAGACCAUGUCUGUAUUACUGUAUGAAUUCCAUUUGGAUCUUGUUAAUGCCAUGUUGUGCUUUUUGUUUUGAAUACAGACCUUAAGUGGGGUUUUUAGCUGUCAAUUUGAUUGUAUGGAUUUCAUGAUGGAUAUCACUGGAUUAUUUCCCAAGCUCCAACACAGGUAUCAAUGGCACAUGCUAAAUGGUGUCACCAUUGGGUAGAUAAUGGGCUUGUUACAACAGAACUAACCUUUGAAUGGCUUGGACAACAAGCCUGCAGAGUAAGAGCCCUGCUCUUAGAAGUGCUGGCUCGCUUCUCCCUUCCACAUGCUACCUCCUCCUAUCUCUACACAGCCUCUCCCCAGGAGUGCAUUCUCUUCCCCCAGGGGAUGUAGCUGUGGAUUGCUGCCCCUGCAAACAUUGAGAGGGCUACAGUGCAUCCUGGCUUGGAUUAAAAGAGCAAGAGGGAUUUGGAGGACCGCUGGGAACUCAGAAGGGCUGGGAUACCUCUUCUGGAAUCUAAACAAGCUCCAGUCACUGGUCCAGAAGAAUCCCAGUCAUAGAGUUAACAGUUGUCAAUGUGCUGGAAAGACAAAGUUAGAAAUUACUAACCUGUGAUAGGAUCAAUUCGCAACACCACAAAUCUUCCUAGAACAGGAUCAAGAAGCAUUCUAACAAAAACUGCCAGAUUUGGUAAGAUUUUGACUUUUCAUUCCAGCUCCUCCAGAUUAGAAAGCCCUGCUCCCUUGGAAAUGACAGUGGCUUUUCAUACAGUAUGGGUGAGGCUCCUAGCACUACUACAAGAGUUUUCACCGUCUUUCACACAACACAGUUCUGCCCUGUAUGCAUCAGUCCUUCUGGCUGUCUCCAGACUUACCUUUGCUUCUAGCCCUGAUCCCUUCCAGCUUCUGCUCUUCACCAUCCAGUCAUAAUAAUCUCUUUAAAUAUGUAUGCUCAGUGGCCAGCUUUUCUUUUAGAAUGCCUGUGGUCAUUGAUUUUUCUAAAUUACACUGUAAUGGGCAAGUAACAAAAGUGAUGAGUGAUUUCAUAGCUGUUGAAAAACUUCCAAGAAAAUAAAUUUGGAACUUCAGGGGCAUGUAGAUAGAACUAAUUACAGUCAUCAUUAAAUAGGUUAAAAAAUAGGUCAGUCUUCUUUCAUUUCUACUCUUUCCUCAGCCAUUUAACAUCACAUGUGAGGAUUUUAAUUUUGUAAGUUACACAGCUCCCUUUAUCAGAUGUUCUCCACCAUCUCAUAAAAAUCAAAGAGCUUGGACUGGAAGCUUCUCACAUGUUGAGGCCUCUAGUCCAAACCCCAUCUUAAGGACUGUUAGUAUGAUCCACACUGGGAGGAUGUAGCUCUGCUGAUUUCUGAGUGGGUUUUUCCCUUGUUUUUUAAUUUUAAUACAUUUAUGUAGAACUAAGCAGAUAAGACUCUGUGUGGUGUGCCUCAACAUGCCACUUGAGUCACUCUGGCUUCAUCACAGCACUGAAUUGACACCCGUCUUAGUUUACAGAUCUACUUGUUGCUGCUGAGUCCUCCCUACCACAAUCAUUCCACAGCCUCGUAACUCAACAACCUGUCCUUUUUCCUGUCAACACAGCUUUCCUCUAAAGAAUGCUGUUGACCAAACAAAUACCUUCAAAGAGGAUGAGACAGCUAUUGCAUGUGUAGCUUUUUUAAAAAGUCAGUCAUCUACUGAGGUGACGAGAAUUUGGGGAAUUCUGUGUUAUAAAUACACGGAUGUUUACAGUACAUGUAUGGCUUGCUUGUAGACAAAGUCAGCACCCAGGAGACUUCGGCAUAUAGAUGGAAAUAUAAACAUGUGAUGUUUAGUUCUGUCCUAGUGAAUCGUGUACCAGACACAGAGACUGGAGGUUCUGAGGAUUAUUUUUGAACAGUCAGGUGUUUGAAUACCAUUUUAAAUGCUCUAGAUGAAGCAAAGACUGGAAAAGGCAGAUUCUGGUGGCAAAGGAACCCUUUAUAUUGCUGCUAGCCUACAGUUUCCACUUACUGCCUUUGAUUAUUCUUGAAUUGUAUAUUUGGUAUGGCUUAUUCAGGUGUUUCUCAAGGACAAUGAGUGUUUUGUUUCAGCAAAGUGUAAACGUUACCAAAAGAGUGACUCCUAGAAAGUAACAAUUAAGUACAGAAAUGUAGAUUUCAUUUACAGGAAACUAUUUUUAAGAUGUAUCAUCACUCAGAGAAUAGACUUGGGUUGGUAUAAGCUAAUUAUUAAUGGCUUUCUGAUGUUAGGCAUGGUAUAGAUCUAAGUGUGAUUAAUUUAGCAGGAAUCCUGCCACUCUUUGGUGACAAUGACCUUGAGUCUUCAACUGAAAAAUAGGAACACCUUAGCAAGAGAGUAGCUAUUCUGAAUAACUGAAGUAAAAUACUAGAAAAUUUCAGGAUAAAUGGAAAGAGCAGACCUCAGCAUGAGUAAUUAAGAAGAACUACAGUUGUCAAGAUUUAAUUUUUAUGCAAAAACUGAGAAGCUUAAAAAAUCCUUAAUGUUACAGUUACCAUUUUCCAUCUUCUGACCACCUUAUUUCUAGGUGAUGGCAUGAUUAACUAUGGAGGCAGCUCAAAUUUCUUUUAAUACUGCUUUAUUGCUAGCAAUGCUAUCAGCCCUAAGAGAAUCUCUAAACAUAGUUUUCAGCCUAUUACUACAGGAAUAAUUUGUUUCUCAACUGUUACUUUGAAACAUAUUGAUUUUUCAGCCUACACAUGUUUUUACUUGUUUGUGAUCUUAUCUUACUUAAAUUUCAGAACCACACAAUUCACUGCUAAGAUAAAGAAUGCAAAAUUAUUCACCCAGUUUGGCUGCAGACAAACAAAUGGAACUCAACACAAACAAAGGGAGUUGUAUCCAAGCAUUAUUUGCCUGAGUUCUUAAUAUUUCAAUACUCUGUGGAAAAAGCAGGUUGGAUAACAAGCUGUUUUGACUUCACUUCCAGUACACUUUCUGGUUUCUCUAGUCUCCAAAGCCAAGAAUCCAGUCUAAAGAUGCCACAAAGCUUCAGCAUGCUAAAGGCAAGACAGUGCCGUGUUCUUUUUCAAUCUUUGUUGCUACACUUUGGAAUAAAAUACAAGUUUUGCUGUAGUUUAUAAAAUAAAAGCAGUCUAAGAUGUUACCUAAAUCCUCUACACUUAUUUCAUAUAUGAUUUAUGCUUAGAGGAAAGCACGUUGAGCUGGAACUGGUUACAUUUGCAUUUUCUGCUGAAACAAGUUCUGAGCUUGAAGCUUGUCAUUGGAAGCAUCCUGCUUUGACAAAUUUUUAGCAAUCAGAGCUGAAGCCUGUCUCCCUAAAAUGGGGCACCACACCCAGCAGGUCUGUGGUCUCCAAGCUGCUGGCAAAUGGCAUGUGCAUAGAGCGUCCAGAUCAUGCAUCUCAAUAGCAGCUGACACAGCUUCCACAAAGAACAACUGUGAUUUUUCUAGGAAAAACUCAAGCCUUGCAAGUGUCCAUACUGACAUGAGACUGUUGCUCCACUGUUAUGUAGGGAAUGGAACCAGCUUUGUAGAAAGCAGCCUCUUGACUGCUCUGAGAUAUUGAGCUGGCAGUUUGAAAGCCAACCUCCCGCAGCCCCAGAAACAUCCUGAGAGCCUGCAAACCUAUCUGUGGCCCUGUGUGGAACUGCACUUUCUAGCUAAGUAAAAUCUUUUUGAUUCAUCAAGUCCAUUUGUAGCAACUUGUUUGCAUCACUACCAGAGAGGACACAAUCUGACUUUUUGAACAGCUUUUGUUUGUCCCUAGCAGGCCUUGAUACUCUUUGCCCAUGUUAUGCAAGGCUGCCCUAUCCUACAUGUGACAGAAUUGUCUGGCAAGAUCUACCACCACCUUUCUUGUUAGACAGGGCCACUCUUUCAGUGCCAACUGAAUGGAAAGUGUUUGUCAAUUUCUCUUUUCUUUUAGUUUCCUCUGCACAGAUCUGGAGAGUUCCUGCCUACAAAUACUGGCCUUUUGGGUACUUGGGAAACUACUGUCUUCUACUGGGAUCAUGUUUUCAAGUCAUAUUUUGCCGUGGAAACAGAGGGGUUAUAAAGGACCUGAAUUUAAUUUUUCUGCAUCAGCAUCUCAGUCAUCCAUUUAUUUGACCAGGUGGAAAACCUUCAUCACAAAAUAAAGGCUGCAGUCUACAGUGAUGGUUUCAGAGAAAGCAGGAUCCCAAAGCUGAAAGGAUGACAGUGUAAUCGAGAUAAGCAAUCUCUUCCAAAUCAAAAUAAGUAGUGUAGUGAUAGCCACCAAAUAUGAUAUGCAAAUUUUCAAGUGUUACUAUAAAAACUUUUUCAGUCAAUUCUGAAUGUGUUUCAGACUGGUCUAUGAAUCAAAAAAUAUUUAUUAAAACAGAGACUAAAAUGUGUGACUGAAUUCCAGACAUCAUAGAAUGAUUUUCAAGAUGUUAUUCAAAGCAAUGGAAUAUGUAUUUAUAAGCAAGCUUAAUCUUGACUGCAUUUUGAAUGAAAACAUUUGGAAAUUCAUACUAAUGCAUUUUUUUAUUAUACUUUAAUUUUUUGCAGUAUUCAAAAAAAGCGACUGAAAAUUAAAGACUGCAAUCCUGCAAAUAUCACCAUUAACUUUAAUAAAACCACCAGCAUGCUGUUAGGGACUGCUAAAUACCAAGGAUUAAUAUAUGUAGAUUUUCUUAAAAGUCUUUAUGAACCAGUACAAAACUAUGUCAGCAUUAACAAAGAAAUAAUUCCAAUUUUUCAAGAUGCUAUCGAAAUUAUCAUGAAUUUCUGAAUAUACACAUCAAUCAAAACAACCAGCCAAAAAAAAUGAAUGUUUUGGGAAAGACCAGACCUUUAUUUGACAAUAUACUACACAGAAAUGCUUAGAACUCCCUGAAAUGGAUGUAGAAGAUUCACUGUGAACAGCUUGCUGUGCUUUUAAGAAGAGACAAAGAGAAUUCCCAAAAAAAUCACCAUGUGUUUCACAGCCCCCAGAGAACACCGAAAAAAAGACUUUAGAAAUGUUUGUCCAGAGAGAGUACAUAGUUUCUAUCAGCUUUAGUAAACCUUGUAAUAAGUCUCAUUGUAUUAUUUUAAAGAUUAUUUAAGAAACUUCAUCUAUAAUAGAAGUUUACAGUACUGUUAUUCCUGAGUAAGAAUUACUAAUUUCUUGGUGCUGAUGAUAUACGUUUGUUAAUUGGAGAAUGGUGAUCAGAGAGAAUGCCAGAAAUAAUUUUUUUAAUCUUGUGCUUUGCUUAGUCCUCUUUCCUCUUUUGGGUGAAAGAUUAGUGGUAGCAUUUCAUUCUUUGUCCUCACUACUCCAUGAAAUUAUUAUUUUGUGUGUGAUUAUCUUUCAGUCCAGUUUGUACCUCACUCAUGACACAAGGGUGGUAGGAACAGUCUGUCACAAGGCAAAGGGAAAAAAAGCUAUAGAAGGACUAUCUAAGUGAAAAUGUUUGAAAGUCAAAGGGAGGGCAUGUUUAACUUCACAAAAGAAAAUGCUGGUUUCUGUUGCAAUGUUGGUUACACAAUCACAUAAGGUUUUAUUUUUAAAAGCAAGUAAAAAAAUUAUAGUGCAUCAGCUUCUUGACUGAUGUAAAUCAAGAUGGUUUUAUUGACUUUGAUGGAGCUAUGUCGAUUUAUACCAGAUGAGGAUUUGGCCUACUGUAUGGAGAUAUUUUUAUUUCUCUUCUCACUCUAUCAGUUAAGGAAAGGGUAAUAAUCAGCAAGCUGGAAGCAAUUAUGUGUGUGUGAGGAGGGGGUAGUUUCAUAAUAGCUAACUUGAUAUUAUUUCCUGUAAAAUGCAUCAGGAGAAUAAAGCCUGGAGCCUGCUGACCAGUUUGUUUUGUAAAGAAAUAUUUGUUCAAAUCUGUUUAUAAUAAUUUGUCAAAUUAUGGGCAAACUCAUCUGAAGCACUUGCCUUCCACUGACACCAGAGGCAGCAGUUCUGGACCUGAUCAGGCACCAAGUGACACCCAUGGGGGAAGACCCAGGCAAAAUUUGGCUUCCACAUCUGUGUAAGUCUGGAAUAAUUCUACCAAAAUCAGUGGAAACAUUUUCUAUUUACAAGUGUGCCUAAAAGCAAAAUUUGGCACCAUCUUCAACUGAGCAUUUAUAAGCUGUUUCUGGCAACAAAUAAGGAUGGGGGAGGGGGAGAUUAUUCAUUGCAGAUGCUUUGUAAGAUUACUAGAGGCUUUCUGGUGACAAUAAAGUCUACUAACAUAGCCACUUCUGGAAAAUGCUUUUGAAAAUGUGAUUUGAGGGAGUUUCCUGUUAUCCUUUAAUUCUUAGAUCGUUUCAUGGGGGUAAAAAAUACUAACCAAGACCUCAAGUGAAAUCACUUAAAUUGUUCUCCUUACCAUGGUGAGGCAAGAUGAGUCCCAACCUGCAAUACCAAGUGGACUAAAGCAAUUCAUGGGAAGCUAAGAUUUCUAAGAAACUGUCUUGGAUGAAUGAAUGCAUUUCAUAAGGUGCAGUUUAAUUAUUGUUAAGCAGCCACACAUUGACAAGAGAGCUGAAGACAAAGUAAUCACAAUGAAAAUAAAUGGAAAGAUUUAUGAAUUUAUUUUUAAGUUACAAUGCAGAUUAUUCUGAAGUACCAACAUCAGCACUAUAAACACUAAAGUAUUCCUACCAGCUUUUGCAAUAUAGCUCAUUCAUCUGAUCUCUUUGCUCUCAGGAAUGAUUUAAUUUUUUGUAACGUUUUUAUCAUGUUUUAACUUAAUAGUGUAAAUAAAGUGACUUCCUGCCCUGCUAGGGUGAACACAGUUCUAGUAGGCUAACUGUGCUUUCAGCACUAUAGCUUAUACCCAUAUAGCCACCUCUUUCUGAACUGAUCUAUAGGUAAAUGAAUCCCAAAACCAGCAUGUAGGUGAACCCUUAAGUAAUAGCAGACAACUCAUAAAAGAGUGGAAAAUAUGCAGUUCAAAAAUUAUUUUGCAUAAAUGCAGCUCUUGCCUGAACUAGGGAGAGCCCCAAGGAGCUGGGCAGCCCUUCCUCCCUGCACUGGCCCUCUCCAGCCCUCCCUGCUGUGUCUCCCUGGGAAAGGUCAGGUAGCCUAUUAAUCAAGCUCUGGACUUUGAUUUGAAGUAUGUAUACGUCUACCACUUCCUGGAUCCUUUUGAAGCAAGGAAGAGGCAGCAAAUUUCCAGUGAAGGUUUGCUUAUUUUGGGAUUCUUUUUUUAAUAGUUUAAAUGCAACCACCUUAAAACCAAAAUAAGAUAAGGCAUCGUUUCAGUUAGGACAGGUGAUGACAUUCUCACACUGAAUUUAAAUCCACCUUCCUGUAGUGAAUAUGUAACUUUACGUAUAAAGUAAUGCCUGGUUUAUUCUGUGUGCUGCUACAAUGCAUCUUUCACCCAUUUUCUUACUCAGCUUUUCAGCUAUGCAUGGAAAUUCAUGGGGUGUUUUUUCCUAGUAAGUUUCAAAUUUAUAUGCUGUUCUACACUGAAAAAGACAAGUGUCAAGUGGCAAGGUCAUUAUCAUUUUUUCUAGUGAGAACAUAGAAUAGAAAAAUAAAUGCACUAAUGUAACCAGCAGCUACAUUGACUGACUGAAUUUCUAUGAUUACAUCUGUGUACAUAGGGGCAUGUGUUAUACAUAUAAAAUAAUUAUUCUAUUUUUUAUAAAUGCAUGCACUCAAUUGUUUUUACAAUUUAAUAUAUUGCACAAAAUAUAACUGCUUACAGACAGUAUUCCUAGAAUCAAUACCACAAAAUCAAUUCACACUAAGAAUAAUUUAAAAGGAUGAGAAAACUUUGAUUAUUUUUCUGCUUAGGUUUCAGAUCUUUACAGAAAAAAAAAAAAAAGCUUAAAAGAUCUCUUUCAAACAUGGUGUAUGCUGUAAAGAUUAUGUCCCAGCUAAUUUUGACGUGGACAGAGGUUAUGACUGAAGUCAGGAAUACAGAGAAGAUUAAAUUCUAAACCAUGACCCUAUUUUCAUAGAAACAUAUUAAGGAAACAUACCAUAGAAUGACAUACCUAAAACAAAGCAUUUCUAAGUAAGGCAUCUGUCAGAUUUUUCCAUGAGGUAUAGGCAGUUUAUGAUGUACAGUGAUGGUCAGAUUGCUGCAUUUUAGUAUUGCUCAGCUUUCAGGGUAAGAGUGGUUCAAAGCCUGAAGAUAAAUUUCAGAGAUAAGCUGAACAGUAGCCAGGAAAAAGGUUACUAUCACAAUAGUAAUAGGUUUAUAUGUGUCAGCUAACUUGAGAAAAGACUGGAAGAGGUGAUCAUUAAAUCAAGUGAAGCUGGAAUGUAUGAAUGAAUUUGAGUUUGGUGUUAAACUACACAGAGGGUCAGGUACUACACCAAUCUCUAAUCCUGUACAUACUGGAGUUGGUGCUUAGCACAGCAGAAUUCAGGCUGUAAGCACAAGUUCUCAUGGGGAAUAUCUGUGGGAUGCACUGCAUCCCUGUUUUGUCCUGAUCAGGGACCAAGAUAAUCCUCUCACUAGGCAGAACUGAAGUCUGCUGAGAGAUCUCUAAAAGCCACCUCUUGGGGUCCUGCAGGAAUCACUGCUCAUCGGUGAUUGAGGCUUUGUUCACUUGCUGUUACCCAGAUGCAGGAGAGAACUGACCCAAGUACCAGCUGAACUCCCUAGCCAGGAAGGACUCGGGUAAAAAAUGACAAAAGUACCAGAUUUGCCUUUCAAGUGCUCUAGCCUUCUGAGAAGAAAUAUUAAUCAUAUCUUUACUGUCUAAAAUAGAGAAAUAGAGUUCAGCUAUUCUGAGGUAUAUUUGUAAGGUUCUGGAGGCCUUACAAAGUUUUUGGGGGGUUAUUUUUUCAUUGGUUAGUUGGGUUGAUUUUUCUUUUUUUUUACUACACAUGUAAUUAACUGGUUUACCAGUUAGAAAUAAAUCUUUGCAAGCAAGAGGCAUCUACCUUUUUUCAGUCAUCAUGUUCCCACAGGUAUUAUGAAGACUGGAAGAAAUAGGGCUGGAAGGGAUCUCUGAAGAUCAUCUAUUCAAGCACAGGCUGAAAUAGCAAAGAUCAAAUUGCUGGAAUAUUAUCUAUUUCUACUGUGCAGCCUGAAUCUGACUCUACUACAAGGUUUUACAAAAAGAAUUAGUGUGGGGCUUAAGAGUUCCUCGGGAAGAAAUACAAACGGAAGUGUAAGUAACAGGAUGACUUCUAAAAUGCUGUUGCUCAGCUUGGCCUCCAAUUGAGUAUCAGUUUAGGAUAAUUUUUAAUUAAAAAUUUAAUUUAAUUUGAUUAGUCUGGUUCAUCCAGACUAACUGAAAUUUAAGUAGCUAGUGUCAAGGCCCACAGAGCCCGAGACUAACUACAAUCUAAUUACUAGGCUGGAAUUUUUUAAUUACUACAGAUAAGAGUAUUGGGGAAAAACUGUCAUGAUUCAGAGUUCAGAAACCACAUCCUCCCUAUUUUCUGGCCAUCCCACUCAGUCUCUGAGAGGGAGUGUUCAGAGUGGUAUAAGUGAAGGCAGAUAACCACAUCCCCAAUCUGCUGUCAUCCUCAGACAGAAUUUCUGAUGAUUAUCAUAACAUAUUGAUAACUCUGCUUACCAAAGACAAGUGAUGAAAUGAAAGAAGGUUUAAUUAACCUCACUUGUCAACAGGUGCCUUCACUAUAAUUACUCGUAUUUGGCCUUUUGCCAACAGGCAAAAUUUUGAUUAGCUUUUUAGCAAAAUUCUGCCAUGUCUCUACUUAGAAAACUCAAGAUGAGUCAGCUAAAAUGGGUAAAAUUUAAGACAUCUUAAACUCUACAUAGAUCCUCUCAUUCAAGAGCAAAGGGUCUGCAAAACUCUGACAUAUCUCCCCUUCCCGAGGUAUCAUAGUCACAAAAUAUUAAUCUCUUUUUUCCCAGGUAGCAGAGCAGGAUUCGGUAUUUGUGAGGGAUGUUCUCAUUUACAGCUUGGUGUUUUUGCACAAGCCCACCAUUAUAACUGACUUAAGACAAAACCCAGCUCUGUGAACAGGAAUGGAUGAGGUGUAUUACCCAUCUUGUUCCACCCUGCAGGGAAGAGUAGCAAGUUGGUUAUGCUAAUGCACUGAGCUGCUUGGCUAGAUUUGGCAGAAGUGCCUAUCCAAGUUUUUGGUUCAUUAUGAGCAGAUCCUACUAAGUAGCAUCAAACUAAAGCCUCUUGAUUUGUACUGGAAACCUCCAUCUUGGGACUGAAUGCAUUUUAAAGGCCCUGACAGAUGGGCUCUGCCAAACUGAACAGCAGCAAUCUGUAAUGCUUUACCUCCCCCAUGUCUGCUGUGCUCUCUCCCAGUGCCGUCUGUCCCAGCAGCAGGGGAAACAGGAGCAGAUGCUGAUAAGGGCAAUUUCGCUGCAGGGUCUGGCCUGUAUGGUCUGAGACAGCAAGCCCCUGCUUUGGCCACUGCUAGUGCAAGGACUCUGGCAGUGAGGUGGGGAAAUGGGCGGCAGACAAUGUGUAACCAUCACUGCUAAACCUGACAAGGCUCCACCAGGAUGUCUCACACUUAGCUGAUUUGCCAAAACCUGCUGCAGCUGCCUCGUGUGGCACCUUCUUCACAUGCAUAAUAAUUUGACCACAGUCAAAGUUUUUGCUUAAAGCAAAGAAUAAGAGAGUGCUGCUACAGUGCAGGAGGAGAGCAGAAUGUGUUUUAAAGUCCUUUCACAGCUUUGAUCUAAAAGCUUUUGGGUUCCAGUUAAACCCAUUUUGCCCUGCCAGCAGCAAUCCUCACAGGAACACAAACAAGAACCCUGUCUCCUCCCUCUUGCAACACUCACACCCUUUGUGUCUGGGCUUACCUGCCAAAUUUUGUGCAUCUCUGUGUCUGGCACCUAUGCAAAUUAAGCAAUCUGUAUCUAAUGUAUAUAUUGUCAUAAAUAUGGUUUCUGAAAAAAACACUGGUAGAGGUGGUUAAAAGUGUUAGGCUGAACCUUGGUUUUGCAGGGAGAGCUCCUUCAAAGACCAGGGUCUGAGUGUAGUGGAGAUGGGAAAGAGCCUUCUUGAUAGCCAGUCUGGAAAGCCUUUCUGUGAAAAACACAGGUAACAGGUGCACUCAGUGGUUCUUAUGGGUCUCUUCCAGCUCAGGAUCUUCUCUGGCCAAUGAGCACAGCAGUGGAAUACCAGAACUAUAGAGGGCUGUACCCCAUGGAAGGAAGAGUGUUAAACUGCUAUCCCAUGCUAUGCAUUCCUUAAGUGCUUCCAGUCUUCUGCUGGCUCCUUGCUCCCUCUUCCCCCAAAUCCACCUCUUUCUCUUCACUGAAUGCCCAGUGCCCUAAAACUGUCCUGGGAAGAGGAGCACACAGAGGAGAAAGGAAAGGCUGUCAGCUGUCAGCAGAAAGUCCAUCAGCUGUGCAUCACCCCAGCUCCCAGAGACAGAUACAUAGACUCCUUGCCUGGAGCAGUCUUCCCCUAAUUCUUUUAGAACAAGCCAUCCUGCUCCUGAUUUCUCCUACUUUUCCUUCUUGCCUUGCUCCUUUCCCACCUCACAGGAAGACUGUUGGGAACCAGCAACCAGGCAAACCAGUUUGGGCAGAAAGAGAUCCCAGUCCAUUGACCUCUGUACUCCAACUUCCCUCACCAAGGGGUGAGGUAAUAGGACAGCUCAUGUACAUUUCUGAAAACAUUGUAGGAAGACUAAAGGAAACAUGACUGGGAGAAGUGGGAUGGUUCGGCAAGGCAGGGGAGAGAAGACAGUGCAGGUCAUGCCAGAAGCAAAGUGGGAAUUUAUGGGAAGAAGUCCUCACUGACUUAGCAAACCCAAUGGCUGCAGCAACAGACAGAUGGCUGCCCAGGGCUGUGAGUGAUGGAAAGGGCUCAGCUGUGGUGUAGUGCUAAACAGGGCUUAGCACCAGGCUCAGGUCAUUAUUGGGUCUGGAAGCUUUACCUCCUUUCUGGGGCACUGAGCAGUGUAUGACUGCUUUUCCCACCAGACAGGCACCAGGCUGCCCUGGUGAUGCUGAGAAGUUUGCACCUUGUUUCUCCUGUACUGCUCCUUACAGCAAUAAGGUGAGCCCAUUGUCAUGCACUGGAAAAACUUGUUUUGGAGCCUAGAUAUCUCUGACAGUUAAUUUAGGCUGUGAGCAGGGACGUCAUCCACAUGUACAGGAUGUUUGUCUGCUCUCCUCUCUGCCAAGGUCCUCCAUUACUAUUAAGGCCUGCAUGGGGAGGGGACAGAAUUAGUUUCUGCCCGGCUCUGUCUGCUCCAUUCCCUCCAUGCCCUUUGCAGCCACUUGCAGGAAGGAUGAAGGAAUAAUCCCAAAUCUGGAUACUGUAACACUGUAGCUACGAGACAGUAAAAUAAAAGAAAUCCUUAUUACUGAAAGGCCCUUAGCUCUGGGUUGAAUGGUCUGCUUCAAAGUCUCAGUGAAAUACCUCUUUCCAGCUACUAAAUACUCAUCCCUAUUAUCUAUGAGAGCUAAACCAUAUGCACAGUUAUGAUUAAAUGUGGGUGCUGCAACUAACUUCUGUUCAUUCAGAGCACAACUAUCAACACAAAGCAGUAAGUGGUAAGAACAUCCUUCUGUUACAAGAGUUUCAGGGUGGCAUCAACUGUUUUACACGCAAAGUUUGGGUGGAACAAUUGACCAGGAAAGAAAACCCCACUGAAUGAAACUAAACACAGAGACAAAACCAAGAAGAGAAUAAAAAAUGAAUGCAGUGUUGGAUGUUAUAUCAUACAUGUACUGUAAAAGAGGAUCAGUUUGAAAAGGAUUUGGAAAUUUCACAGAAACCAUCUUGUUAUCUAUGUAAGUAAAACCAGACCUAAUUAUCAGGCUGUGCUCAGUCAUGCUGUUCCUGUUAGCAAAGCCCUCUCAGAAAGUGAACAAAAACCAAGUAAUUUUAGGGUUCCUCUUACCUGCAGAAAAAUCUGAGGAUGGAAAGGAAGAAAAUAGCAUUGAGUGGUACUUUCAGCCUUCUAGACAUUAGCUGGUAGUAGAGACCCUGGGACUGCUAACCAGCUCAUGUUUGGCUAUUCUGCAAGUUAAAGUAUUAUUUAAUCAGAGCAAGCAAAGUAAUACAGAUAAUGCAGAAAUCCAAAGGUACCUUAAACCCAUUUUUGUACUUUCUCUCUCAGCCCAUAUCUUUGGCUGUAGCUCAGAGUCUGAGCAUCUGUGCACAAAUUGAUUUAAAGAUACAAGUUCAGAAGUCUCGAUGGUCAGAGUUGAAGGUGGAGAGGCAAAUACUCAGAUGAUGAGAACUGGAGGAAAUUCAGUGAAGUCUUGCAUGCAUGGAGUUACACCAGUAGGCAACCAAACCACUCUUUAAUUUCAUCUAACGAUUCCCAUACUCAGGACCAUCUAACAGGUCAUGAUGCCUCUUGUAAAGGGAAGAUGCUCAAAAUGUGUCAACUUUGUACUGCAGGGAUACUUCAAUUCACUCUGUUACCUGAUGGGAAGGGAUGAGAGGCUUGCAGCAACCUCAUUUGCUGGUGCCAGCUUUCUGGCACCUAAGCUAGCAGGUCUCCUGUUUCCAUGCAUCCCUAAAGCACUGAUUCCAAGGCACCAGCACAGCAAGCCUCACUGCAGAGACACACCAGCAUCUGAAUCAAGGGAUGGAACAGAACACAGGCUAAAAACCUCUGGGCACGAGCUGAGGGUCCUCUCCAAAGCUGUUGCUCAUCAGGAAACAGUAAGCAAGAGCCAGGAAAGUUAGAAAACAAGCCUCUAAGAGAAGCAGAACAUAGCAAAGCUGGCAGCAGCCACAGACAGGCCAAGAGGCAGGAUCACACCAGCAGACAGGAGAAGCUGAAGAGGGAAGAGCCUUGCAGCAGCAGCAGCAUCAAGUGGCCCAAAAGCUGGAUCUGGAGCAGAAGAUGCUGUACUCAGAGUCUGCAUGAAAAAAAAAAAAAAAGCUAUAGCUGAAAGGUAGCUCCCCAGCUAUAUUCCCCAGCUGAAUGUGUGCAAGUGAAAUGGCAGAGGUAGCACUAGAAGCUGGUAUUAACACCAUCACAGCUAAAUGUCAGAAGUAGCCUAGAGAGGGAACUUCACUCUGCAGAAUGCAUAGCUGUGAAAUCCAUCAAGAAAACUGAUGUCUGCUUCUAUUAGUACCACAACAGCAGUUUGACCUAAAUAGUGAUUUCUGUUCAGCAUUGAAAGACAAGCAGGAAUAAGGUCCAAAAUAUGAGUCAUUAAAAAUAGAAAAAGGCCAACAACAUGUACUGUACUCCACAAUCAGCUCCUUCCCAAAAUGGGGCCAAAAGCUGACAUAUUUUGGAUUAUUCCAUAGCAAAUCUUACUGCCACUUCAGAAUUUUUGGCUGACACCUUGAUGACACUGAAUUAGAGUCAGUCUAUGACACAGAGAUUUUAAAUAGACAGUGGUGGUCCUUAUGAAUUUCAGUAAGUGCAUUAAGAAACAGAAUCACAGUAUUGCAACACCAUGUACUCACACAUGGUAGUUUUGACUAUAAAGCCCUUGAAUGCUUGGCAACCCACCAUUGCCUGGUUUACUGUGACCCCUUCAUUGCCUGGCUCUGGUUUGGAUUUUUCUGCUGAUGACCUUUUGAGUUAUUGCCCUGGCAAGAAUGGAGAGCUGACAACGACUACCAGUCACUGGUCCAGUCUUUCUAACAUACUCAAGUGGGAAAGAAUCAGUGGAAAUGCCUGAGAUGCUCCUGUGUAGACUUCUGAGAGUGACACCCUUAGUGCAUAUAUGUAGCACAGUAGUCCAAGAUUACUUGAGCUUACUAGCUCUAAUAAUAAUUUUAAUUGCCACAGCUCCUAACUGAAGUGUACUUACUAUUCAAAAUGCUUUCAAAACUACAAAGCUGAUGUACUUGUUUACUUACAACCUCAGCAUGUACACCUUAUACAGGACUGAGAGAAAACAUAUAGGCAUCUGUGAUCUCUAGGAGAGAAUACUGCUCCACAGCAUCCAACCCUAGUUAGUUGGCAAGCACUUCUGAAACAUCAUGCUUAGUCUCAUUUCAAGAUGCUAAACCUGAUAUUUUGUUAAACCUUCUGUUUAGCUUACUAUUCAAAUUACUAUUUUUUCCUUUAUUAGUUUCUUUGUUCAAACAGUCGGAAGCAUGCAACUCCACCCAAUUUCUUCAUUACACCAGUGCCCUUAAAAUGUUUAUCUGUGUGUCAGCUUGGUGCUUGUAUUCUAGUGUCUGAAAUUGUUUUGCCUGGAAGCUGUCAGUGAUGUUCUGUUCCCCUCCUUUACUCCCCCCCAGUAAAGCGUGUACUAUUUAUCUUCUUACCGUAAUUUUUUAAAAUAGAGAUUAUUUCUUUUAAUAGCUAUGUGUUUUCAUGCUCCCAAUUUUAAGUCCCUAAAAAUACUGACCAUAAAAAGUACACUCAGCAAUCCUACAGCAGACCAUGUGCGUGCAAUUACCUCAUUUACACAAACACAAUAACCACACAAAAUUCAAUGCCCCAUCUGGAAGAUAGGAAAUAUUAUUUCCUUUCUUCUACCUUGUCUGUGUACAUAGCUGACUCUCGAGGAUAAGCAGAGUCUCAUUAUGUUGGUGGAUAUAUAUACACACAUACAUAAUACAUAUGUUCACACAAUACUGCAGAUAAUUGGCACCUGAUUUCUGCUGAGGCUGUGAGCAACUCUGGUAAAUUAUUGUACUUCAAAUUUUAGCAUGGAAUCUCUCGCCAACUUUGCCCAUCCUUGCCAUUUCCAGCUCAGGCUGACAGUUUUGGCUGGUUGCCUUCUCUGCUUGGGUAAACCUGGGGAAGCACAACUGUGCAAAGACACAGAACCUCCCCUCUCCUCCACCUGCCCCAUAGGUGUUUGGUGGGGCUUGAGCCAGGUGAUGGAAAGUAAGCCCUCAUGGCCAUUUUCACAGAGAGAGGGGCAGAUCAGGAGAACUUGGGCCUCUGAUGCACCCUGUGAUGAAUGAAAACUUCUUCCUCUCCUCCUGUCCCACCAAGUGGAAAGAGAAAAGUCUCUGGAGAAGCAUGAAUGCAAAAAUCCCCAAGAUUUCUCCAGCUAAAAUAGUACCACAACUGCAGGAGGAGCUGGGACAUCACACAGGUCAUGCAGCAGAAAAAAAGGGGGAAAGCAAAUGUUUAGUACAGAAGACUAAUAGUGAACUUCUGGGUUUGGAGUUUUAAUAUCUCUUUGUUGGAUGGGGAAUGACUCCAGCAUAUGUUCAUGUAGAGAACUCCUACAUUACAAGCUACAAGGGACUCUGGAGGUGAUCAAUUCUAAGUCUUCCAGCAUACUACUUACCUUGUUCCUGUUGGAAAAGACUCACCCCUAGGGUGACACAAACAUGUCAAUUUUUUAAGAGCUACAAGCUGCACUGAGUUUCUACGCAGGAAUUUUAAAAACAUACGCACUUAAGCAUGAUGUUCUAUCUCUCUUCCUUCCCCAAAACACUGUGCCACAUUAAUCUGGUCUCAAAUAAUGAAUGAGUGGAAGUACAGACAUUUCCAGGAGCAUUUAACAUACAUUUGUUGGAAAAGCAGCACUGCCUUUUUCUCUCACUUAUUUCUACAAAUACAACCCACUCUACUGCAGAGGGUUUGUGACAGCCCAAGGGCAUAUGAGAGGCCAUUUAUUAAAAUGCUGGCAAAGAGUACUGGCAUUGUGCACAUCAACUCCUGCUUCAUCUAGGGUGGACAGGGGGCAACCAGACCCUGAAUCUAUUGUGAGGCCUCAGAGAUGAGACGGAGCAGGGUCUGCUCUUUUCACUGGAGUCCCCACCAGGAAUUCCUGGAGAGUACAAAGCAGCCCCUUAAAAAUGUUUCUGUCAUUAUUCCAGCCUGCAAAGAGCCCUAGAAGCUGCUCUCUGAAGUUACCGGUCACAUUUGCUAGUAUUGUCUUCCAGUAACAGAUAAAACGUGCAGGCUGCAGCCACACUCAGGCACAGCUCCUGUUGCACCACGGGCUGGUCCUGGCACUGGCAGCAGAGAGAGAAAAGACAGCUGAAAAGAAGCAAGAGACAGGAGAAACCCAGGAAAGAGAGGAUACAGAUGACAUCAAGGAAGAGAAAAGCUCAAUCAUUGGCCAAAUACCAUGCAAUUCAGCAGUAGCAGAACUAAGAACAAGGACUCGACAUGCUGAAUAUAUUCUGGCAGCUUCCUCAAGCUUAACAAGUGAAACCUGAAUUGAGGUGAUACACAUGCUCUUGGGAGGAUUUCAGCUGAUGUCUGAGGUCUUCUGAGCAAGCACAGGGAAGAGUGAUUAGCUCCGUUUCACAUGAGGUUUUGCAAACCACAUCACACUUUACCUUUGCUAUCCUUGUGUGUGGGAAUGUGUAACAGGACUGAAGGAGGACAGCUGGAAAAGAGACAAUUACUACCUUCUUUCAUACACUAGUUGUUUCUAGUCUUCAGUAGGUGAGUUAGGCAGCUCAUAACAUCCUUAAGAAUGGCCCUAUGCUCCCUGGCCCUAAGAAGUCAACUUAGGAAGAGGCUUCUACAAGGACAGAAGACUCGUAAAGACAGAAGAAUUACCAUCACCUCUUCUCAGUGAACAUGUCAAUGUGAGGGUUUUAACUAAGGAACCACUAAGGGCAGGGGAGGAAAACACACAUUUCAGCAGCUUGAACUCACCUCUUGAAUUUCUCCUGAUGUCUAAAAAAGACAGGGGGAGCUUCCCUUUUGCACCCUCUGUUCCAUAUGAGCUCCAGAUGCGUGCAUGCUAUUUUCAGAGUCAGAGGAUACAGAUGUCAUUAAAUAUGCUGGUGAUCUGCUCCAGUCUAUUGAAAUUUUUUUAAUCUGAGAUCAACACCCAAAAAAGUAUUUGAAGACUCAGCAUGAAGAGGGGAAACAACUACAAUGAAAGUUGUAGUUCCCAUAUUACCAAAACAAGGUGCAGGGUACAGAUCAUAGCCAGCAUCAUGAGCCCUAAGUCCUGACAAUUGAUUUGGGAUAUCUUGCAGGACCUCUGGAAAAAGCAUAAAACAUUCCAACAUGGUGUUUUCUGCUCACAUGGUAGUAGGGUUAUGAAGUAGCUUUUUAUGACCCAUUCAGUUUUCCUUUUAUAGCAGCCUAUUUAUACACUCAAAUUCAGUCACAGCUUCCACUGUACUGAUUACUACAGUGCUCAUUUCCUCAUUCUGAACUGAGCAUGCAUUUCUUUUCUUCAUUUUUGUUCUCUCCUUAUUAGAUCUAUUAACCUUGCAUUACUCCUCCACCCUGUUGCUUAGCCUCUCCUAGGCUUCUUUUCUAGGGGCACUUGUCUCACUGACAACUAAGUAACCAAUAAAAUAAAAUGUUUUAAGAAAAACUUUUCAUCUUUUUUUCCAUUUUUAAAUGCAUGAAGAAUAGAUCCAACACAGUAUUUGAGCAGCGGCUCAGUAUCACUUAAGUUACAACAUCUUCUUCCACUCUGAACAGGCCAUGAAAGUAACACUUCUUAAAACUCACUAUGCUUUCUACAGUCCCAUUUAGUUACUGUGUUGGUGAGUGCCUAAAGGCCACUGAUCCUAUUUGCUUACAUCAUGUAUUAUCAAAGUCACUGACCUGUACAUCAUUUGAAGACUGAAAUCCAAUUUGAUGUUUUCCCAUUUACACCAGACAUAAGUUGUGCAGCAAAUGUUUUAACAAUGCUUCUAAAUUCACAACACACUCAGUCCAAAACUCCUGAGUUAAUAUUUUUGCACUUGGGAUUGUUAAUGUUUGCUAAAACCUGAAACAUUCUUCAGCUGACUAAAAGCUUUACAUCCUUAGAAUAUAAAAUCUAAAUAUAAAUGUGGUGGGCGUAUGUGGAUCUUUUCUCCCUGAGGAGGCUCUGUUACGAAUUUCCACUGUUUUACGCCACCACCAAGUCUCUUCUAAGCUGUGACACCUGUUCAGAAUUUUCAGCUUCUUAACCCUUUAUUAUACUUCCUACCAUCUGCAGCAGAAGUGCAGGAAAAGAGUUCCAUCAUCCUGGACUUGCUGUAUUAAUUCUCCAUGACUCCUUGGUGUCCUUCAGUAUUUUAUAUUAAUACCCACCUUAAGGACAACUAACUAAAUAGAGGAACUUGCCUCCCUCAUAACAUAUGCCAGUAAAUAAUCAGGCUAUCAAGCAGACUCUGGGAAGAAAACCUACAAAUUCCAUAGGAGGAACACCAAAGAUAAUACUAUUAAUAAAUAUUAUUACUGAUAAUAAUAAAUGGUUUAUACAAAAAUGAAACAGCACCAUAACUUUCAUGUAACAUUAUGCUAAAUACAUUCUUAUAAUUCACAUUUACAAGGAUUCCCUAUUCUUAGGUUUGAUAUAUUUAGCAAACAUUGGCAGUGCACAAUGCUACUGACCAAAAGUUCUUUAAGCAUUACUAUGCAGAUGCUCUUUUUAACAUUUCUGGAAAAGACAAACCAUGAGGAUAUCUCCUAGUUAAAAGUCAAAAUACCAUGU